GCCCGGCUAGCUCAGUUGGUAGAGCACAAAGCUCUUAACCCUGUGGUCGUGGGUUCAAGCCCCACGGUGGGCU
This is a non-coding RNA of Tripterygium wilfordii, 73 nucleotides long. The record is from the annotation of a RefSeq genome assembly. NCBI's taxonomy places the organism in Eukaryota, Viridiplantae, Streptophyta, Magnoliopsida, Celastrales, Celastraceae.